This 328-nucleotide non-coding RNA is filed under the name Pongo abelii (Sumatran orangutan). Lineage: Eukaryota; Metazoa; Chordata; Mammalia; Primates; Hominidae. The record is from RNAcentral.
UAGAAGAAAUACGGACUUUAAUGAAGAGUUUUCCCUUUGGUAUAAGUGAGACCCGUGGAAACAUCCAAACAACAGCAAAAGGAGGCCAAGAUGAAAACGGUCAACUCUCCCUUAUCCACAAGGCCAAAAGAGGGGGGCUGGCUUGCUGUGGUGUGGCCACCCCGGGCCUAGGCUGGGCCAGGCCUGUAGAAGGUACUCAGGAACUGCAGGUUUUGCGUUUUCCCUCCAUGAAACUGACAGGCAUUCGGGCUGACUUCGGCCUCUCAGUCUCGCGGUAAGAGACCCAAGUUUUUCUAGUCCUAGAUGGAAAUAAAUUUCAUCUGCCUCA